UAGGGAAUCUUCCGCAAUGGACGCAAGUCUGACGGAGCAACGCCGCGUGAGUGAAGAAGGAUUUCGGUUCGUAAAACUCUGUUGUUAGAGAAGAACAGCGCAUAGAGUAACUGUUAUGCGUGUGACGGUAUCUAACCAGAAAGCCACGGCUAACUACGUGCCAGCAGCCGCGGUAAUACGUAGGUGGCAAGCGUUGUCCGGAUUUAUUGGGCGUAAAGCGAGCGCAGGCGGUCAAUUAAGUCUGAUGUGAAAGCCCCCGGCUCAACCGGGGAGGGGCAUUGGAAACUGGUUGACUUGAGUGCAGAAGAGGAGAGUGGAAUUCCAUGUGUAGCGGUGAAAUGCGUAGAUAUAUGGAGGAACACCAGUGGCGAAGGCGACUCUCUGGUCUGUAACUGACGCUGAGGUUCGAAAGCGUGGGUAGCAAACAGG
RNAcentral lists this ribosomal RNA (429 nucleotides) under Bacteroidota bacterium. Its description in RNAcentral is "Bacteroidetes bacterium partial 16S ribosomal RNA". It matches the Rfam family "Bacterial small subunit ribosomal RNA", at positions 355 to 776 of the family's 1533-position model. The record is from RNAcentral. Lineage: Bacteria; Pseudomonadati; Bacteroidota.